AGAGCACUUUGCCCGGAGCCCAGCGUCCUCCCCUGAGUUCGCUGAGUCUCCCGGGACCAGCAAAGGCUGCGCGCCCCGCAUCGGCCCGGAGGCGGGGCGCCCUGGGAGGCCUGGCCGAGCUGCCCGCAGGGAAAUGGCGGAGAAAGCGCUUGUCUGCCCGAGUUCAGCCGGGCUGGGGACUUGGCCCUGGGUCCUGAACUCGGCAUGGCUAGUUCUGCCUCUGGCUGUGGACCAGGGUGUGGACUGGAGACCGCGGGGGCCAGUCUCAUCGGAUCAGAUCGAGCAGCUCCAUCGGAGAUUUAAGCAG
RNAcentral lists this small RNA (307 nucleotides) under Pan troglodytes (chimpanzee). Its description in RNAcentral is "processed transcript". Lineage: Eukaryota; Metazoa; Chordata; Mammalia; Primates; Hominidae. The record is from RNAcentral.